Molecule: ribosomal RNA, 305 nt
Filed under: uncultured bacterium
Lineage: Bacteria
Description: bacterial SSU rRNA
Rfam family: Bacterial small subunit ribosomal RNA
Source: RNAcentral
UCCUACGGGGGGCAGCAGUGAGGAAUAUUGGUCAAUGGGCGGGAGCCUGAACCAGCCAAGCCGCGUGAGGGAAGAAGGUACAGCGUAUCGUAAACCUCUUUUGUCAGGGAACAAAGGCGGGGACUAGUCCCCGGAUGAGGGUACCUGAAGAAAAAGCAUCGGCUAACUCCGUGCCAGCAGCCGCGGUAAUACGUAGGGUGCGAGCGUUAAUCGGAAUUACUGGGCGUAAAGGGUGUGCAGGCGGCUGAGUAAGACAGAUGUGAAAUCCCCGGGCUUAACCUGGGAACCGCAUAUGUGACUGCUUG